Molecule: long non-coding RNA, 289 nt
Filed under: Danio rerio (zebrafish)
Lineage: Eukaryota; Metazoa; Chordata; Actinopteri; Cypriniformes; Danionidae
Description: lncRNA (ENSDARG00000117612.1)
Source: RNAcentral
UGGCAGUCAGAGAAUUCUUAUGUCUGGAUGAUCCACCAACUGCUUUAGAUGCUCUUAGAGAAAGACAGGCCUUCUGUGAGACACUGGAAGGGACAGACCGCUGCCUUCAGAAGGAUUUCAUGGUUGACGAGAGAGAGAGAAAUGAGUCCAUGAGAAACGUCCUUCUGCACAAAGAGCUCCAAAUUAGCCAUUCUGAGAGAACAAAGAAGGGCCACGGAGCGUGCUGGUGUGGAUCAGCGACUGACAGCCCAGAAAAACACCGUUGCGGAGGACCAUUCCAAGAAAUUCA